AGAAUGCAAUCCCGUGAAGCCAGGAGCAGAGUCUCUCGUCUUCACUGCUGUGGUCUCAACACUUAAAACAGUGCUUGCAUGAGAAACAGAAGAGGAGAAGACACAGACACACAGGAAAAGGCCAAGUGAAGACUCAUGGGAAGAUGGAGGCCACUAUUAGAAUUAUGCUUCCACAAGCCAAGGAACACCUGGAGUCACCAGAAGAGACAAGGAAGGAUUCUCCCUAAGAGCGUCCAGAAGGAACAAAUCCUGCCAACAUGUUGAUUUGAGACUUCUGACCCCCAGAACUAUAUGAGAUGCUGCACAGCAUGGCUUGAUGAGUGGUAUGUAGGUCUGCUCCUGGGAUCCGAACCCACAAACCCCGGGCCGCUGAAGCAGAGCAUGUGAACCCAACCACUACACCACCAGGCCAACCCCCAAGGAUACCACUUUUGACUGCUCACCAUGUGAUGACACUGUGCUGAGUGUGGUGGUAUAUCCUCGCCUAAAUUGCCACAUCAUUCUCAACAGUAGCUGCCUCGACCUCCCCAUGUUACAGGUGGACUUCUUGAAAGAGGAGUCAACAUUUAUUGGGUGUGUCUACUGCUUCAUAUCUCAUUCACCCUUAGUUGCUUUCAAUGAGGCAAGCUCUUUUCUCACACCACUAUAACUCCC
This 654-nucleotide long non-coding RNA is filed under the name Equus caballus (horse). Its description in RNAcentral is "lncRNA (ENSECAG00000055604.1)". Lineage: Eukaryota; Metazoa; Chordata; Mammalia; Perissodactyla; Equidae. The record is from RNAcentral.